RNAcentral lists this ribosomal RNA (253 nucleotides) under uncultured bacterium. RNAcentral describes it as "partial 16S ribosomal RNA". It matches the Rfam family "Bacterial small subunit ribosomal RNA", at positions 524 to 776 of the family's 1533-position model. The record is from RNAcentral.
UACGAAGGGUGCAAACGUUGCUCGGAAUUAUUGGGCGUAAAGCGCACGUAGGCGGCUUUGCAAGUCCCAUGUGAAAUCCCACGGCUCAACCGUGGAAGUGCAUGGGAAACUGCAGAGCUUGAGUACUUAAGAGGAUCGCGGAAUUCCCGGUGUAGAGGUGAAAUUCGUAGAUAUCGGGAGGAACACCAGUGGCGAAGGCGACUUCCUGGCCUGUUCUUGACGCUGAGGCGCGAAAGCGUGGGGAGCGAACAGG